UACGUAGGGGGCGAGCGUUGUCCGGAAUCACUGGGCGUAAAGGGCGCGUAGGCGGCCUGCCAAGUCAAAUGUGAAAUCCCAGGGCUCAACCCUGGACCUGCAUUUGAAACUGGUAGGCUUGAGUGCAGUAGAGGCAAGUGGAAUUCCUAGUGUAGCGGUGGAAUGCGUAGAGAUUAGGAGGAACACCAGUGGCGAAGGCGGCUUGCUGGGCUGUAACUGACGCUGAGGCGCGAAAGCGUGGGGAGCAAACAGG
Molecule: ribosomal RNA, 253 nt
Filed under: uncultured bacterium
Lineage: Bacteria
Description: partial 16S ribosomal RNA
Rfam family: Bacterial small subunit ribosomal RNA
Source: RNAcentral